This 464-nucleotide long non-coding RNA is filed under the name Felis catus (domestic cat). Its description in RNAcentral is "lncRNA (ENSFCAG00000047521.1)". The record is from RNAcentral. Lineage: Eukaryota; Metazoa; Chordata; Mammalia; Carnivora; Felidae.
CUCUGGGAUGCAGGCAGGAAGGUCGAGUGUAUUACACUGGCCCCACCUCCUGAAGCUCUCUCUGCAGCUGCUGGACUGGACACAAAAGAGUGAGGGACAGAGACACCACCUCCGCUGAUUUGUACCAAACUCUGGUUCCAGUGGCUGAGAGGUCACAUGUGACAGAAGUCAGGGUGGGGGACCCACGCAGCUGUGUGCAUUUCCCAGGCUUCUGAGAAGCUGUGAGCUGGCGGAGCGUGCCCUGAGGAGGCUCACCUGUGGCCCAGAAGAAGGGGAACGGGACACUGGCUGCUCCUUAUCUUUGGAGGACAUGGCCUCACAGCCCGGAGCCUGGGAGGUAGUCCCAGCUGACGCCACCGAGAGAUGGCAGACUUGGACAUGUGGCAGGGACAUCAGGAGCCAGCCUGGUUUUCAGCUUCCCAGGUAUCCUGAGCCAAGCAAAGGUUCUGUCUAGGAGGAGCAGG